Molecule: long non-coding RNA, 7983 nt
Filed under: Brassica napus (rape)
Lineage: Eukaryota; Viridiplantae; Streptophyta; Magnoliopsida; Brassicales; Brassicaceae
Description: long non-coding RNA (BNAP_LNC001818)
Source: RNAcentral
UCCGCAGAUACACCGCCUCUCAGAAGACAACGCACACAUUGAGGUAGAGAUGGCUAAAGGAGUCAAGAACAUGUUUAGAGGUUGAACAUUAAAAUCUCUCUGCCAUAGAUACAGAACAGUUACGCUGGUUGUUGGUCCCGAACAAUCCAAGAUCUGAACUUUCUAUGUUAUAACAUAAACAAUAGUUAGGAUGUAAAGAGAAUUCUAGCAAGAGAAAGAAUAUGAAGAAAGAGCUAGUAAUAGCAUAUGCAGCGGCAAUUAAAUCUAGGACACGUAUUACACUUACUAACUCUCUCAAACACAACAAUGGUGUGCUGGUGGUUGAAAAAUAACAAAAGUACUGAGAAUGCAAGCAACAUACAGAACAUGAAGAAGGAGCUGCAAUUCCAAUUACAUAAGGUUUCCAAAAUUCAGAACUCAAUAUCCAAACCAGGCAAUCAGAUACUAAGUAUUUCUAUUUAAUAUGAAAGAUUAUGCACCAAUCCGAUUUGAAUCAACGAUUUUUUAAAGGUAUAUGAAGCAGAAGCAGAAGCAGAAUCAGAGAAUAGAGAGUGACCAUGUUGAGCAAUGAAUCUGACAUUAACCGAGAUCGAUGCAGAGAUUCCUCACUAACACUCAUCUCACACAACCUUUUCCCCUCCAUUGUUGGUUGACCGUAUCAGAGCUUGCUGUCGAGGACGAUGAACCCUAGAAACAAACGUGGACAGUCAUGAAGAAGGCGAAGGUCAGAAGGGGAAGGAAAGAAAGGAAGAAGACAUAACCUCAGGUCGAAGAUUCACAAAGCAAUUCUCAUGUGGAUUGAAGAUAUCGAAACUCAUAGCUGUAUCAGAGAUCGAAAGAGAAGAUUGUUUUAAUUGCGGAAGAACAGCAAACCCUAGAAAAUCUUGCGGCUGUCUCUCUAUCUUCGGCCUGAAUCACGUGAAAACACAUAAUUGAAACGAUGAGUUUUUCUCUUCGGACACGUGUCGCUACAACAUAAAACGAAUUAUGUAUGUGGCAUCCUAUGUGGACACUCUAGGAGAGAAAGAAACACUACUUUAUAUAUAAAGAUGUUCAUAAUAUAUACCCACUCCGUUUUUUAAUAUAAGUCGUUUUACAGCUAUGCACGUAGAUUAAGAAAACCAUUAAUUUCUUAUAUUUUCUAAACAAAAACAUCAUUAAUUAUUUACCUAACCACAAUUCAACCAAUAGAAAAAUAGAAGAUAUAUUACCAUUGGUUAUACAACAUUAAUUAUUAAUAAAUUUUACAUAGAAAACCGAAAACGACAUAUAAUUUGGAACAAAUUUUUUUCUCUAAAACGACUUAUAUUAAAAAACGGAGGGAGUACUAUUUUAUGAGUUUUUUAAUAUAAAACUCACAUACAAGAUUCCACAUAUUAUACAAAGAUUUUAUUUAGAAGGAAAAUUUGCAAAAAGAUUCACUAAUGUUUAGCCAAUUUUAUUUUCACUUAAUUUUAUUUUAAAUUUUUUAUUUUCAUGUGUUAUUUUGAAAAAAAAUGUCUUUUAAUGUUAACUAACGGUAUCUUUACAUAUCUAUCAAGUAUAUUUAUAUACUUUUACAUACACAUAUACACAUUGACGUAAGUACAUAUAUAACUAAAUCUUCACUACAUGUGAGGAUUCUAAAUUUCUUGAAAGUUUGAAAUAUUAUUUUUAUUUCUUCCUUUCACCAUGACCAAAUUGUACAUAAAUAAAUAAAAUUCUUCGACUAUUAUCUAGAUUUGAUUUGAUUUUGCAUGCGUUUAGAAAUUAUAAUAUAAAACCAUUGAUUCGACACUAGGACUCACUAAAAUUCAUCUAACAUGAAAUUAAACAAAUAAUAAUAGUUUUUGUUUAUCACCGGAAAAAUCAAAAAUCUCAAGCAUUUUAACCGAACAAACCAAAAUAAAUAUGAAUUUAAAAUGGUGGUUAUAUUUUUAGGAGAUUAAAAAAAACUUAAAACCAAACUGAUAUCUAGAUUAAAUAGAUCUCAUGUCUUUUUAUCUUAAAAAUAAUAAAAUUAAUAAUUUCAUUAUUACCUGGUAGUUUAGUAAUCGUGCAGCCUCCAUUAACUAAGCCGUACAUAUAGCUAAAUGUACACCAAAUAACCCUUCUCUGCAAGAGGCCAUAGGCUUCUUCUUACUUCGCCUCGAAACUAUCUCCAAGACAGUAUUAAAUUACCAGUUUUAUAGUUCACAUCUAAUGAUUUUAUCAUAUCAAAGAUUCAAAACCCUUAAUCCUGUCUCCCCAAACAAGCAACAGUGAGUGCACGCUUACGAGGCAGUUGCUCCCCCACACUUCCUCCACUCUCCAACCUACACGUGUCACACCCUUUCCACAUGCACAAACUCACACACAAAUUCAUGCAUGCGUAUAUAAUACAUUCUUAUUGUUAGAGCCUUAGAGGAAAGAAGAGAGAGAUAUGGAGAGAACAGAAGCCUUGACGUCAUCGUUUAUAUGGAGGCCAAACGCAAACGCAGAGAUAACUCUGAGCUGUCCAAGAUGUGGAUCCUCCAACACGAAGUUUUGUUACUACAACAACUAUAGCCUCACUCAGCCACGCUACUUCUGCAAAGGCUGCCGCAGAUAUUGGACCAAAGGUGGCUCCCUCCGGAACGUGCCCGUAGGCGGGGGGUGCCGCAAAUCCCGCCGUCCCAAAUCCUCCUCGGGUAACACUAAAACCGGCCUAACCGCUAAUUCUUACAAUUCCGGUGGUGGCUCACCAAACAUAGAUCUUGCUCUUGUUUACGCCAAUUUCUUGAACCCAAAGCCUGACGAACACAAACGUCAAGAAAACUGCGACACAGAUUUUCUAGUCGAUGAACCUGCCGGCGCUUCGAUGGAACCCUUAUGGAGGGACAUCGGUAAUGGACAUCAUCAUCAUCACUAUGAACAUCAGGUGGAACACAUUGUGCAGGAAUGUGGUUACAAUGAGUUGCCUCCAUUUCCUGGUGAAGAGCUUCUGUCUAUUGACACUAGUGGUGUUUGGUCUGAAGCUUUAUUGAAUGGUCAUAACCAUGUAGACGUUGGUGGUGUGACUCCGGCUCAGAUUGUUCAGGAUCCGGUGGUUCAUUUUGCUGACAAAUCCAAUGACUCCACCAACCUCUUGUUUGGAAGUUGGAGCCCUUUUGAAUUCUCAGUCGAUGGAUGAUCUUUAUUUGCAUAAAAGUUUGUAUUGUACUUAUUAUACAUACAUACACAUAUGAAUAUAUUAUGGAUCAUUUACGAAAAUAAGAAAGUUCAUAAUUUAAGUACAAAUUUAAGGGGUAAUAUGUAUACAUAGGCUAUCCUUUUUUGUGCUGUGAUUCUCGACCUAUAUAUAUGAUGCUAUAAUUAGUCGUUAUCAAGAUUUGCCCAAGAAGCCCACGUGGGAGGUCCUAAUAUUUGGAUUCGACUGAGAUUUGCUGUUACUUCAACUUAUAAUUCACUGAAAGUGAGACGCACGUAUGUGUUAGACUUGUAGUAUCUCUGGCCUUUGUGUGUGUCCUUGUAGAUCCUUCUCUAAAAGAGAGUGUCAGAGAAAGAGCAUAUUUGUUCCUACUUUUCCUUUCACUCCUUUCUACCAUUAUUAAUCUCUUAUUUCCCAGACUUAUAUUAUAGUUCGGCUUUAAGUCAAUGCCACCCAUUGAAAAGAUUAAUGUGUAUGAUUUAUACGAUUUUUAACCUUACAUACAUAUUCAAUGGAAUAUAUUAUUCCUAGCAUUUUUUCGAGAUAUGUGUCAUGUAUAUGUAGAUCCAACACAUUUAUAUUGAUAAUGUAAAAUGUAACACCAUAACCAACUCGUUACCCUAGUCGUGAAUCUUAUUCAACAUGUGACUUGUCACUUCUCACAAGUUAGCCCGUCUAACUCGUGGUUUAUCAAGGAUUGAUUACUCCGUCGUCUACAUGUGAGAUCUAAUCCUAUAGGGAUUGGAAAUUUUAUAGCUCUUACUACGUACCAUGCGAUAACUCAUAUGAGUACGUACGUAGGGAAAUUAAAAGAAGAAACAAAAUUUAAAGAGAGAAAAGAAGAAGAGAAUUUAUAUAUUUGGUGAACAGAAGUAGAGGAAAUUACGCAAGUUGUGUUCAGAGGUAAAUAAGUUAACUUGGAAAGUUGUCUUCAGAGGAAAGUUGUUUAAUGUCGAGCUUCUUGCGUCACACACGUUCCCAUACAUCUCCACUUGAUCCAAGAAAAUAGUAAACUCGUAUGACUAUGAAAAAGAGUUCUACAUUUAAAUUAAUUUUUAGCUAUAAACGAUAUUAUCAAAUAUUGCCUACCAACUGACCAAGCCUGCUCAAAGUGAGAUAAGAGUUCUUGUAAUCUGUAUAUAAAUAGUAAGCAUCGAAAGGUAAUUGGAAAAGAUAUUUUAGUUAAAAUUAAAGAUGUUAGCAUCUUUUUAUCAUUUGAUUUACCAUCUUCAUAAGAAACAUUUGACUUUUCAUCUGAUAUAUGUAAUAAUCUAUUAUACAAUCUAACUAGCUACAACAUAUGAGUUCAUGGACAAUGGAUUUACUGUAAUAAAAAUUAUGCUUAACUGUUUAACAGUUUUACCUACACAUUACAUCUAUUCAUCAUACACCAGAUCUGAUUUACAAGAAUGACUCUAAGGGCAACACAUUAGUAACUCUAGUAAACUUGUAUCCAUGUAUGUAGUAAAUGUUCUAUUGAAGAAUUGAACUUUAUAGAUGGUAUAAAAUGAUUAUCGUUUCCACAAAAACAACAUAAUUAUAUAUGAAACAUAAUUUAAUAUUAUAUCAAGAAAACUAUAUAACUAGUAAUAUUCAUAUCAAACGAGAAAUAGAACUAAUCACCAUUAAAUUGUAUAACAUGUUCUCAUAUAUGUUGUAAUACUUCUGAAUUUUAUUUCAUUUGAUAAAAGAUUUUACUUCUGAAUUUUUAUAUAUGUUGUAAUAUUUCUGAGAUUUAAAGAUCAAAUUAAUAACCAGUAAUAGUAGUGCAUAAAAAGAAACUAUUGAAAAGUCUCUAAGUUGAGGCUUCGCUUUCCAUGCAUAGAGCGAAGACACGUUAAAUUUGAUUUUCAAGUCAUAUUCUUAAUUAUUUUUCCGUAAAAUAGAUAGUUAAGUUUCCGUUGAAACAUUGAGAAUGAAGGGUGAGGUUACGCGUUCACACUAAAGUCGUAAUUUGGCAAGCUAGUCAUAGAGUUGUAAAUAUAAAACAUAACUUCUUUAAAUUAAUACUCUAUAAAUUAAUAUACACUAAAAAUAUCUAUAAAAUAAUAUAAUUUUAUAAUCUCAAACUGAAUUUUGGUUCAAUUAGUAUAUCGAUAAAUUAAUAUCUCUAUAAAUUAAUAAAAAAAUUAUAGUUUUGGUGUAGUCCCAACAUUAUUAAUUUAUAAAGGUUUCACUGUACUAGAAUAUGACAUGCGUCUUGCGCAGGGUAGUUUAUUUGUAUAUAUUAUCGGUAAUUUUUUUAUAUAUAUUUGAUCAUUUUAUUUAUGCAUAUACAAUAUUUUUUGUUGUUGUUAUAUAAUUUCUUUUCGAUGGACCGGAUCAAUUUUUAUUAAAAAUUAUGAAACAAAACUAUAAUUAAUAUAUCAUGGAUUGACCAGAUUGGACAUUAAACAAAUUAUGACACAAAAACUUUACUUUUUUCCACCGAACACAUUAUUGAAAAAGUGAGCAGUAUUGUUUACACAGUUAAAUUACUUUUACAUUUAUUUUCCAUAUGGUUUUGAAAGAUUUCAGAUCAACCAUCGAACUAAUACAUGUUAUUUUAAUGUUUUUAGUCGUAUGCUUAAGGAAAACUUAUAUUUUUGUAAUUUACAUUCGUUUUAAAAAAAAAAUCAGAAUAUAACAUAUACAAAAAUAUAACAUAUAAAAAAAUAUAACAUAUAAGGUUGAGAAAUUGCCACAAAUACCACAUUCAUAGUACCACUUUUCAUGUUAACACUAACCACUUUUACCCUCACUUUUAAUGAAGGGUAAAAUACAAUUAUACCCUUAGGGUUAACUAAUCUAGACUUAGUGUUUAGAGUUGGGGUAGGGUUUUUGGAAUGUGAAAUUUAUGAUUCUAAUAAAUAUAUAAAAACUUAAAAAAUAUAUAAAAAUUUUUAGAAAAUAGUUUCAAACAUAAUUUUCGUUUUUCAAAAAAAAUUUGAAAAAAAAAAUUCAAAAUUUUUCUUUUGUAGAAAAGUUCGAAUUUGAAAAAUUAUAAUUCGAAAACNNNNNNNNNNNNNNNNNNNNCUAUAUGUAAACCGGACUAAACCAGGUAUGAAACCAAACCUUAAUUAAUAAUUAAACCUUAGACGUCUAAAAUACUUAAGCUUCGGGAAACUUAAAUGUCUAAAUAACUAUGAAAGCCCUAGAUUUAUAAAAGACAAGUUACGUAACUAAACAUAAACAUAGAUCUCAAGGUUUUUUGCUUAAGGUUAGAACUCUCUAGUCUCUACUCUUUCCAAUCUCGUUUGUGCUUAUUCUUCUAAUAGAUUCCUGUGUUACUUUGUCACAGAUUAAUAGCCACCUUAUUGCGCCAUGGCGUAAGGCGCAAGGCUAGGACCGUCUCGCCUUGGUGCGCCAUGCGCCAUUUUAAACACAACUUGAGCUGUAGAAUUGUAUAUGCAAGGCAAGAUCUCGUCUAGAGCCGUGUUGCUUGCGGCUUUCUCUACUAAUACACUCCGUGCUACACAUGUGUCUGUAGUUGCACUAAUGCUCAAAGAAGCAAAUUAAAGUUUUUCAAUGAAAGAAGAAGCUAAUGAACUGUCAUGAGACAUAAUUUUGUAACAGAAGGAGUGUUCCGCUCAAGAUGAAUGUAACAGUCACCAAAAUUCAUCCACAAAUCACAUGGCUGCUGAAGAGGAAAAGAUUCAGAUAGUUCUUACUUAUGAAAGCGCAUAAAGAACGUUUCAAAGUUUAUACUAACGUGUAAACAAUGAUCUGCAUCCCAUAAAUUGAAGAAACUGGAAGAGAAUAUGAUUAGAAAAGAUCAUUAGAGUUAAUACAGUAGUUGACAGUUGAGAAACAUUUGGUGGAAGAUGAUGAGCUUGUGGGAGUUAUACAACAGCUCGACUUUCAAAACUUAAAAACAUUUCAAAAGAUACAGAUUAGUGACUUACGGAGACCACGACAUGUCAAGGUAAGCAUAGUGAUUGAAUCUAUGAUAUGCGCCACCCUCUUGCAGUAAAGAUGAUGACCUGUUACACAUGUUUUCAAGAUAUUAACAUAAGGCUUCUGUAACAAAUAGUUUUGGAGUUUUCUUACACGGAGAAAGUUUCUUAUGUCACUGGAACUAAGAGAUCAAUCUGCUUCAGUUUCACUCGUUUCACAAAUCUGAGCAGCCGCACAAACAACUGCCAGCCUUCAAAUCGGAGAAAAAAUACUAUAAGUAUACUAAGAGAGAUAUAGAAGAUGGUUUUGAGAGGAUGAAAAUAUACCUUUUUAUAUCCGCAGAUACACCGCCUCUCAGAAGACAACGCACACAUUGAGGUAGAGAUGGCUAAAGGAGUCAAGAACAUGUUUAGAGGUUGAACAUUAAAAUCUCUCUGCCAUAGAUACAGAACAGUUACGCUGGUUGUUGGUCCCGAACAAUCCAAGAUCUGAACUUUCUAUGUUAUAACAUAAACAAUAGUUAGGAUGUAAAGAGAAUUCUAGCAAGAGAAAGAAUAUGAAGAAAGAGCUAGUAAUAGCAUAUGCAGCGGCAAUUAAAUCUAGGACACGUAUUACACUUACUAACUCUCUCAAACACAACAAUGGUGUGCUGGUGGUUGAAAAAUAACAAAAGUACUGAGAAUGCAAGCAACAUACAGAACAUGAAGAAGGAGCUGCAAUUCCAAUUACAUAAGGUUUCCAAAAUUCAGAACUCAAUAUCCAAACCAGGCAAUCAGAUACUAAGUAUUUCUAUUUAAUAUGAAAGAUUAUGCACCAAUCCGAUUUGAAUCAACGAUUUUUUAAAGGUAUAUGAAGCAGAAGCAGAAGCAGAAUCAGAGAAUAGAGAGUGACCAUGUUGAGCAAUGAAUCUGACAUUAACCGAGAUCGAUGCAGAGAUUCCUCACUAACACUCAUCUCAC